UCAGCUCCUCUCUUGCCAGAUUUAAUGCACUUGUUCAUGCAACUUGUUUUCCUGAUGUUUCAAGUUCAUCUGACACAGCAUUAGCAUAUCUGAAGCUCAUCCAACAUCUAGCCGUUUAUAAAGGAUACAAAGAGGCUUUUGCUGCUCUUAAAAUAACUGCAUAGAAGUUUUUAUCCAUCUCAAAAUCAAGAAUUUUGUUACUGAAACUUCAGCUGCUCCUUGAGCGUGCUUUACAUAGAGGACAUUUGAAGUUUGCCCAACAAGUAUUUGAUGAGCUUGGAGUCCUGGCAUCAUCUGUCAAUGGCGUGGAUAUGGAACUGAAGACGGAAGCAAGUCUCAGAAAAGCUCGUAUUGCUUGCCGC
This is a long non-coding RNA of Malus domestica (apple), 362 nucleotides long. RefSeq lists it as uncharacterized. Lineage: Eukaryota; Viridiplantae; Streptophyta; Magnoliopsida; Rosales; Rosaceae. The record is from RefSeq and is a predicted model, not a curated record.